AUUUAACGAAAGUGGCGAACGGGUGAGUAACACGUGAGCAACCUGCCUUACACAGGGGGAUAGCCAUUGGAAACGGUGAUUAAUACCCCAUAAGACCACAAUACCGCAUGGUAAAAGGGUAAAAGGGAUACCGGUGUAAGAUGGGCUCGCGUCUGAUUAGCUAGUUGGUGGGGUAAAGGCCUACCAAGGCGACGAUCAGUAGCCGGUCUGAGAGGAUGAACGGCCACAUUGGAACUGAGACACGGUCCAAACUCCUACGGGAGGCAGCAGUC
This 272-nucleotide ribosomal RNA is filed under the name uncultured Parvimonas sp. RNAcentral's name for it is "partial 16S ribosomal RNA". It matches the Rfam family "Bacterial small subunit ribosomal RNA", at positions 84 to 355 of the family's 1533-position model. Lineage: Bacteria; Bacillati; Bacillota; Tissierellia; Tissierellales; Peptoniphilaceae. The record is from RNAcentral.